GUGUGGAAUUUUCCGCAAUGGGCGAAAGCCUGACGGAGCAAUGCCGCGUGAAGGAUGAAGGCCUAUGGGUUGUAAACUUCUUUUCUCAGAAAAGAAUUAUGACGGUAUCUGAGGAAUAAGCAUCGGCUAACUCUGUGCCAGCAGCCGCGGUAAGACAGAGGAUGCAAGCGUUAUCCGGAAUGAUUGGGCGUAAAGCGUCUGUAGGUUGUUUAAAAAGUAUUCUGUCAAAGAUUAGGGCUUAACCCUAGAUAGGCAGAAUAAACUUUUAAGCUAGAGUUUGGUAGAGGCAGAGGGAAUUCCCGGUGGAGCGGUGAAAUGCGUAGAUAUCGGGAGGAACACCAAAGGCGAAGGCACUCUGCUGGGCCAAUACUAACACUGAGAGACGAAAGCGAGGGGAGCAAAUGGGAUUAGAUACCCCUGUAGUCC
RNAcentral lists this ribosomal RNA (426 nucleotides) under uncultured bacterium. RNAcentral describes it as "partial 16S ribosomal RNA". It matches the Rfam family "Bacterial small subunit ribosomal RNA", at positions 354 to 796 of the family's 1533-position model. The record is from RNAcentral.